RNA transcript from Carya illinoinensis, 2458 nucleotides. It is a transcript of the gene named trihelix transcription factor PTL-like, with no coding region annotated. NCBI's taxonomy places the organism in Eukaryota, Viridiplantae, Streptophyta, Magnoliopsida, Fagales, Juglandaceae. The transcript is spliced from 3 exons. The record is from RefSeq and is a predicted model, not a curated record.
UUUUUGGCACAACAGAUACGCAGAGCUGGGGAAUGAGUUUGUGGUACAUACAGUGAUUAAUUAGUGACGAAAGAGAGAUGAAUGAAGCGGUAGACUCGGAUCCUGUCCCCCCGCCCCUCCACCCAAGAAAAAGCUCGCCUUUGUGCAGCGUAGGACUGGACUGGACUCAGAGAACUCUCUCUCUCUCUCUCUCUCAAACCCAAGAAAAUUAGAAAUGGAUGACCAGUAUCAUGGCCUGCUUGAUUUCCGGCAUUUCAUGGCCGGAAGAAAUCGUUUUCCCGCCGUUACACAACCAACCGGCGAGCCAUUCUUUCUCCAGAAGAAUGUGGCGCCGACACAACUCCAGUACGAGGCCAUCAUGGUUGGUACUGAGGCUUUCCCUCGUGGGCUGGUUGGGUUUAGUCACGAUUCCAUGACUAGUACUACUGUCUCUCCCACAACAGCCUCCACUGCCAGUUUAGCUGCUACACUAUCUGGUUCAGUACAGAUGGAGAGUUCUGGAUGGAUGGGAUCAUAUGAUGCUGGAAAUAGUACUAGAUGGCCAAGGCAAGAAACUCUCACCCUUCUUGAAAUCAGAUCUCGUCUUGAUUCCAAGUUCAAAGAGACUAAUCAGAAAGGACCAUUGUGGGAUGAAGUUUCUAGGCUAAUGGCUGAGGAAGGAUACCUGCAGAGAAGUGGGAAGAAAUGUAAAGAGAAAUUCGAGAACUUGUACAAGUACUAUAAGAAAACUAAGGAAGGUAAAGCUGGAAGGCAAGGUGGGAAGCAUUACAGGUUCUUCCGGCAGCUAGAAGCAAUAUAUGGAGAAGGAAGCAAGUGCAAUAAUCAUGCCUCAAUUUCAGAUCAUACCCAUCUUGCUAGGAAUAGCAGCCUGCCUUGUCAUGAUCAGAACCCAAAUAACGUAACCAACCGAGAAAUUCUUCAGAACCAAAUGCUAUGCAAGAGCCUUAGUUUCUCUAACUCGUCUGAAUUCGAGACUUCAUCCUCAGAAAAUAAUGAUGAUGAUCUUUCCGCCAUUGCAUUCAUGAUGAAUCAGUCCAAGGAGGAGAAGAAAGUGAUAAAUGAGAGACAAGGUUUCACAAGGAACAAGAGGAGCUGGAAAGCAAAGCUUGAGGAGUUUGUGGACGCACAAAUGAGGAAGAUGAUGGAUGCACAAGAGGCUUGGAUGGUCAGGAUGUUGGAGAAUAUAGAGCGUAGAGAGCAGGAGAGUUUGUCUAAAGAGGAAGAAUGGAGAAAGCAGGAGGCAAUCCAGUUUGAUCAGGAAGUACAUGAUAUCUGUACACAGAAUAGAGCGUGGAUUGAAGCUCGAGAUGCAGCAAUAAUGGAAGCUUUAAAGAAAUGCAUAGGAAAAGAACUCCAAGUAUCGCUAUCGGCUGACUUAAUGGCGGAUGUAGAAACUCAAAGUCACAAGGAAACCCAGGAUGAAAGAAGGAAGGAAAUUCCCUUUAGAACUGUAAACAAUAGCAGAUGGACUGAAAUGGAAGUUUCAAGUUUAAUACAGCUGAGAACAAGUCUGGAACUGAGAUUCCAAGAGGGUGGCAGGUAUUUGGAGGAAAGUCUUUGGGAGGAGAUAGCAGCAAGAAUGGGUUCCUUAGACUUUGACCGAAGUGCUGUCGACUGUAAAGAAAAAUGGGAAAACAUCAGCAUCUUUUAUAACAAGACGAUGGACUACUGUAACGAGAAGCGUGAAGAUCAUCAGGAUUUAAAUUGGAGAACCAGAGCUGGAGGUUAUUUUGAUCAGCAGCAACCUAGUUCAUUUCUUGACCAAGAAACUUGCAGACAAAGGCCGCCUGAGAGCAUGGGAGUACUUCAACUGAUGAACGAGUCCGGUACUGAUCUUCCAGCUUCAAGUUCUUCCAGUGUAGGGCCCGAUGUCCAUCCUCACGGCUUUUACCAUGGAGGAGAAAAAGUGUGGCAGAAAUAUGGUGUAAGAAGCAUUAAUAGCAAGGGGAAAAGGCAGCAAGUUUAGCUCAAGCAAGAAAGAACUAAUUCAGCUCUUCUCAAAAGUACACCUCGUUGUAACUUUUUCAGAAGUCUUAUAGGUAUUAAGUUGUUAAACCUUUUGGGUAAGCAAGAAGACACGAGUUUGGAGUUUCAGCUUUCUUAGUCAUUACAAAUGGUAUCAGAGCCAAUUUCAACUAGACUUGCAACCAGCCAUGUCACCUAUGAUAUUAUUUGGCCCGGCGAGGACAUCGGGAUUUAAAAUGGGAGAUUGUAAUACUCUGAAAAUGUAAUUGUCCACGAGAAUGUCGUGAGUGAGAUCUCCUAAUAUUAUUUGGGAUAUUGGAGAAUUACUUUUAAGUCUUUAUAAUGAUUUCAGGAGACUCUAAUUGUGACAUUUUUUAUGCUUUCUGGAAUAUUUGAGUAUAAACAUAUAUAUGUGUGUGUGUGGGGUUGACAUUGGAUGUGUAUAAACUGGCUAAUGUGUAUCAUAUAAUAGGAGUUUGAAAUGUUGUUUUUA